GUGGGGAAUAUUCCGCAAUGGACGAAAGUCUGACGCAGCAACGCCGCGUGAGUGAUGAAGGUUUUCGGACUGUAAAGCUCUGUUGUUUAGGACGAAAGUGCCUGUUGCAAAUAGUUACAGGUAUUGACGGUACUGAACGAGGAAGCCACGGCUAACUACGUGCCAGCAGCCGCGGUAAUACGUAGGUGGCAAGCGUUGUCCGGAAUUAUUGGGCGUAAAGAGCAUGUAGGCGGGAAUCUAAGUCUGUUGUGAAAAUGCGGGGCUCAACCCCGUAUUGCGAUGGAAACUGGGUUUCUUGAGUGCAGGAGAGGAAAGGGGAAUUCCCAGUGUAGCGGUGAAAUGCGUAGAUAUUGGGAGGAACACCAGUGGCGAAGGCGCCUUUCUGGACUGUGUCUGACGCUGAGAUGCGAAAGCCAGGGUAGCGAACGGGAUUAGAAACCCGUGUAGUCC
Molecule: ribosomal RNA, 450 nt
Filed under: uncultured bacterium
Lineage: Bacteria
Description: partial 16S ribosomal RNA
Rfam family: Bacterial small subunit ribosomal RNA
Source: RNAcentral